Molecule: long non-coding RNA, 1774 nt
Filed under: Paramuricea clavata
Lineage: Eukaryota; Metazoa; Cnidaria; Anthozoa; Malacalcyonacea; Plexauridae
Source: RNAcentral
CUUUAGAAUAAUUUGUAUACACCCGUCGAAGGCUAUAGACUGAUAGCCGAAAGCUCGUAGAAAUAAAUAUUUAGUCAGCGAACGUUUAAUGAAUGUUUCAACCUGGCUGCGCAUCCUCUAUUUUUAUCAUGCAGUCAACACUCACCGAAGGCUGAUUGAAUUUAACAGCGACGUAAUGUUUGGAUACUACACACGUAAAAACGCACAAGUUGUGACAAACUUGCAGCAGACUUGUAGCAAUGCUGUUCUAACAACUUGUUAACAGGAUGUGUUCGCACUGCUUGUUCCCAGCUUGUUGACAAGUUGUCAACUGCUUGUUGACAACUUGCUGCAAGGUUGUUGAGCUCAACAGACUUGUUACAAGUUGUUCCAACAACUUGUUAUCGUCCUGCAAUUCAACAAUUGUCAACAAGUUGUGAGUGACAACCUUGUAGCAACUUGAUAAAGUAACAGCAUUGUUACUUGUUGACAAGCUUGCUACAAGCCUGUUGCUAGACUUGGUUCAAGUCCGUCUCAAGAGAAAAGUAGGGAGAGACGGACUUGGGACAUUCGCAGCAUUUCGAAUGUUACUUGCAAAACUUGGCGCGAAAAUUUGUUGUUCUCAACUGUGGCAAGCCACGCCAGUGAAUCCGACGGUAACAUUUUGCGCGCUUGCAGGGUAUCCAAGUCCGUCUCUCCCUACUUUUCUCUCAUAUUUUCGCGCCUUUUUUGACCGCUCGCGUGCAUCGCUAUUUUCAAUCCCUUGAGAGAGGGACUUGAACCAAGUCUAGCCUAUUGCGAACACAUCUUGUUGACAACUUGUGAGACUUUUACGUGUGUAGGUUACGGUGAACAACUGAAUUACCAAGACAUUGCUUAUCUGUGAAACGUCUUAAGAUGUUUACGUAAUGUAACUGAACCAAUGGAAAUGCAAUGUAUAAUAAAACGGUUGUUUAUUAUCCAAUAACUGUUUUCAUUAUUAGCAUGACAAAAUUACUGGAUGCUGAUUGGUUGAGAGGAGUACAAUUAUUUCAUUAAUUGUACUGCAGUACAAUUAAUGAUUUUCCCAAAACAAACAAAAUGGCGGAAAUGUAUUUAAACACAAACGAAAUUGCCCUAGAGGAACUUAAAGCAAAAUAACUAAAUGAAAAUACGAACAAAAGUCUGUCAGGACUGGGCUUUGGCGAGAGAAUAUGAUGUGGACAUUGAGUAUUAUCCAAUGUUGUCAUGCUAAUAAUAAACAAGUAACAAUUACGGAUUAAUAGUACUCGUAAUGUUUGGAAAUUUUGCCAAAUUGGACUCGCCCCGGCGGCUCGUCCAAUUUUUGCAAAAUUUCCAAACAUCACUCGUACUAUUAAUUGUACUCGCCAUCGCAUGAUUAUCCAUACAAAGUCGAACUAUUAUCAAUAUUACGUUGUAAUGCCUCCAACUAUUGCACUUUCUGUAUUUAGCACAACAAAAUUGCAAUCCGCAUACAACCUUUUAACUGUCAAUCUAAAUGCAGACUCAGACUCAAAAUAUUUCCUUUUUUACAGGUUAAAACAGUUGUCGCUGUGGACAAUUUUUAGUGCAGAGUUUCUUUGAAACUGUGCACUAUUGUGAUAGGAUAGGAAGAAAUAUAAUGUAACGUAAACAUAUUACACUGUAAAAUAAACACAGCGAAUACAGGCUACCUGCUUCACCUUGACUAGUUUGUUUUACUUUGUAUUGUUGUCACUUCUGUCAAUCAACGCAACAAAAUUUGUACCCAAUCGACGCUCGGAUGUUGGUUGGGAAGUUCACGCCCAACUUGCAA